Long non-coding RNA from Lolium rigidum, 433 nucleotides. RefSeq lists it as uncharacterized. The transcript is spliced from 3 exons. Lineage: Eukaryota; Viridiplantae; Streptophyta; Magnoliopsida; Poales; Poaceae. The record is from RefSeq and is a predicted model, not a curated record.
CAAAACAAAAUAACCCUGGUCAAGGAUGACUUAGACGAUCAUGUUGAUGGUACAAGCUCAUGUCUCCAGGUCUUGAAUUUUGACGCAAAAAAAAACCUGUUCUUAUUCAGCGUUUGCAAAAAAAAGGCUUGCAGUUCUAAACAAGUGCGCCAAGGGUGCCUGCUCCUGCAUGUCCCUGCUGCUAUCUGUUUUCGCUAUAGUGAUUCUUGCGGUCAUUGUCUGGCUUCAACUAAGUAGCUGUAAACUUUUCCCAGCUCACAUCAGUUUCAGAUGUAGACUUUCAAAUAUAAUGUGAUUGCUUUUGUCUUGCCUCCAUUUUCAAGAGAAUUGGCAAACAUUUAUGUGUUCCUCACGAGAAUUGGAGAAUAUGUGAUCCACAUAUGCUCUUUGCCAGGUCGAAAUGGGAAGUUCAGAAUCUUUAUGAAUUGGUUUA